RNAcentral lists this ribosomal RNA (331 nucleotides) under uncultured bacterium. RNAcentral describes it as "bacterial SSU rRNA". It matches the Rfam family "Bacterial small subunit ribosomal RNA", at positions 8 to 334 of the family's 1533-position model. The record is from RNAcentral.
AGAGUUUGAUUCUGGCUCAGGACGAACGCUGGCGGCGCGCCUAACACAUGCAAGUCGAACGAGAGAGAGGAAGCUUGCUUCCUCAAUCGAGUGGCGAACGGGUGAGUAACGCGUGAGGAACCUGCCUCAAAGAGGGGGACAACAGUUGGAAACGACUGCUAAUACCGCAUAAGCCCACAGGUCGGCAUCGACCAGAGGGAAAAGGAGCAAUCCGCUUUGAGAUGGCCUCGCGUCCGAUUAGCUAGUUGGUGAGGUAAUGGCCCACCAAGGCGACGAUCGGUAGCCGGACUGAGAGGUUGAACGGCCACAUUGGGACUGAGACACGGCCCAG